This 928-nucleotide long non-coding RNA is filed under the name Lathyrus oleraceus (garden pea). RNAcentral describes it as "Pisum sativum (pea) long non-coding RNA (PSAT_LNC028058)". The record is from RNAcentral. Lineage: Eukaryota; Viridiplantae; Streptophyta; Magnoliopsida; Fabales; Fabaceae.
AAUAUUAUCAACCAUAAAACCAUUCUUUUUAUACUCUAAGAUACAUAUUAACACACAUAACAUCAACACCGUAAUAACAACAUGCCCAUUUCAACCAUGACUCUUACCCACAAGUAUAGUAAGCAACACACUGUAUGAAGACAUUUUCUAAGCAACACAUGAAACAAACACAACAUCAUUCUCUAAGUAUCUGAGCAUUUUCAAAACUACAACAACAUGAACAUCUGAUGAAUUAUAAUAAAUGAAUGCCCUUCUUUUGCAAACAACAAACAAAAAUACUUCAAAGAGGACAACUUACAAACUUCAAGGUUGAAUGAAGGAGGUGUUGUUGUUGGGGUUUCAAAGUAGCGGUGUUUCACGGUGACUGUGAAGGUUGGUAUGGAAGAAGAUCAGUGUUGAAGUGAGGAGAAGGAUUGAAGUUUCACGUGUUAGCCUGUUGGGAGUGUUUCACAUGCUCACAUGGUCGAGGGAAGCAGAAGCAGAUAUAUGAAGCUUGUUGAAAUUUGUUGUUGUUGAUGGAGGUUAUAACUUUGUUGUUGUAUGUACGGUUGGAAGAGUGGUGCACAAAGGGAGGUAGUUACAGUGGAGCAUGAUUAUGCAUUGAAGAAGGAAUAGUGAGGUGGAAAGUGUUAUCAUGCCAAACCCUUUUUUGCUUUUUUUUAGAGGAAGAAGAAAGUCCUCUAUAUUAAAAAAUGUAUGUGGUUACAUGAAAGUUAUGUACCUGUUCAUGUUUUCAACUUUGCAUCUUUUCUAUUGGAGAGAGAUAUUUCAGAAAAAACAUGGAGGUUGGGUCUCCCCCCCCCCUUUUCUCUCAAAUUCCAUUUGCUAUGUAUAACUAUAGAUGUAUGGUUUUAGUAUUGAUGAAAAAAACCACUUAUAUCCUCAAUUAUGUACUAGCGGACAAGAAGUAAAAAAUAUUAAGUUAAAC